This 389-nucleotide long non-coding RNA is filed under the name Mus spretus (western wild mouse). RNAcentral's name for it is "RIKEN cDNA 1700101I19 gene (ENSMSPG00010031057.1)". The record is from RNAcentral. Lineage: Eukaryota; Metazoa; Chordata; Mammalia; Rodentia; Muridae.
UCCGCCGCGCUUGGGAGGGCGGUGACCGGAGGACGCUGGCGAGUAGCGGAGGAGCGAAGAGACUUAGCCGCCACUGCGCCGCCGCCACCCAGAAUUGCUGGCUUUGUUCUAGCUCUCUCCCUCUGCCCACCUAGCUGCUCCCAUAAUGCUGUGGGUUUUGCAUCCCUAAACCCCUUUGGUCCUUAGUCCGGGGGUCCCGUAUACCCGGAGACUACAGGUGUGGGUCCCCCGCCCUCCUGAAUCCCGCAGGUCCAGGAUCCGCUGACUCCAGCUCUCUCCAAAAGACGAUGUCACACACAGCCUCUCUAGCAGUCUUACUGAAGAUUCGGGAUUCAAAGGCUUGGAAGAAUGAGCAAGUCAAUGUGGGGAGGAAGAAAAUAAUAAAUUAA